Molecule: ribosomal RNA, 371 nt
Filed under: Wachtliella persicariae
Lineage: Eukaryota; Metazoa; Arthropoda; Insecta; Diptera; Cecidomyiidae
Description: partial 12S ribosomal RNA
Source: RNAcentral
UAUUAUUUUAAUUAAUUUUUAAAUAAUUAUAAAAAUUAAAUAAAAUGGCAGUAUUUUUAAAAAUUAGAGGAUUUUGUUAUUUAAUAGAUAGUACACUAUAUAAUUUACUUUGUUUAAAUUACAUUGUAUAUUGUUGUAAUUAAUAUACACUUAAUGAUAAAUUAAUUUAAUUUUUAAAUAAAAAAUUAAUUCAAAUAAACAUGCAUGUUAUUAUAAAGACUUAAAUGAAAUACAAUUAAUUAAUUAAUGAAUUAAUGUUUUUAAAAAUUUUAUGAAAUUGGAUUUAAAUUUAAAUUUUUACAAAUUUAAAAAUUGACUAAUAUUAAAAAUAUGCACAUAUUGCCCGUCGUUUUUAAUAAUAGUUAAAAUAA